AUAAAUAUCAAAUAUUAUGUGGAUAAUAAUAAACAUGUUUCUCAAUAAAUAUAAAAUAUUCAUUUAAAUUAAAGUAUAUAUUAUUGCCAUCUAUUAUCGAAUAGCAAAACUAGGAUCCUGGUUUUUUGAGUAGUUUUGAUAGUUGUCGCUAGAUGUCACUAUUAAAUACAUAGAUAUUUAAAAUGGGCCAGCUUAUUUUAAGUCACAAACAAUGUAUGUAAAGAAACGAGCAUGUUCUGGAACAUUUUAGAAAUUGAAAAUAAUUUUUCGUCAUAACAUAAAGUUAGAACAUCCAUGAUUUUUUAACUUUUUUCUUGAUUUUUUUAAAGUUCGUUGGUUGAUUAUAGUCCCGUAAAUCUAAUAAAUAUUCCAAUAAUGUAUUCCUACCUAACUGAUCUAAAUAUUUAAAGUUACAAAGGCGAAGAACCUUCUCGAAGAUUCUACGAAUCUGCGAGGAACGCCAGGGAUGGCGAAAAUAUGCUCGGGCUAGAAUGAUGACUGCAAACCGCGAUCAUGUCAUGAUGACACGAUUAAGAGAGGGUGUUCGUCACUGCAGAUGUGUUACACACACACUAGCCGGAAGUACUAUCAGAUUAUGAGCAGAUGAUGUAACAUGUAGAAGCGAUGUCGGAGGAGGCAGGGUUGCUUUCUUACUUUUGUCAAUGUGGUAAUUUGGAAAAAAAAAGUUCUUGUAUUGCAUAUAGCCAUAAAAUUUUAUAUUGAUAUUUUUGAGCUAUCGUUUUUUCACGAAAUUUUGAUAAAUAGCCAUUUAUUUACGGUUCAGGUUACGAAUUUGGACUGCUAUUUAAACGACAAAGCUUAAACCACGUUACUUCUUAAAAUUAUUAAGCAUUUAAUAUUGUUUUCAACCUACCUUUCUCGGUAUCCUCAACUGGCUUGCAAAGCACUGCGCAUGUCAAGCCAGCUAACACAAUUAGAACGAAACCUGCCAUUUCCAAUAAAAGUAUUAAUUGUAGUUUUUAAGUGCGCUGAAGAUUUUCUAUUUCAGUUUUAUUUAUGAAAAACAUGUAAAUCGACUGAUCUGUUUUAUACUAAACUAUAUCCCCCUCUAAAUCCUUGUGCAUUGACGUAUUUCACACUAAAUAAUGAUGUAAAUCAAUAUUUUUAUAUGAUCAUAAAAGAUUAACGGAGUCAAUUUUGUACACAAGCAAAAGGGUCUUUCACUAGGGCUGCGAAUUAGACCGCCCAUAUAAAACAAUUCACUAUAAUUUUUCGUUAAUUCUGUUAACACCCAUCUAUGUGAUAAUAUAUGCGGGAAGACUUAAUUAAAAA
Molecule: long non-coding RNA, 1293 nt
Organism: Bombyx mori (domestic silkworm)
Lineage: Eukaryota; Metazoa; Arthropoda; Insecta; Lepidoptera; Bombycidae
Exons: 2
Source: RefSeq, a predicted model, not a curated record